GUCACGGAUGGCGUGUGGUCUAUACAGAUGAGAUGCAGAAAAGGAGGUGGCAGGGCGACAUCUCCAUCUCCAUCUCCAUCUCCUUCUCCUCCUCCCCUCCACCUCGGGGAACCAAGUCUCGAGCCCUAGUUAUUAGUAAACCUUCAGAGCACUAAUUUUUUCUACUUGGAAGUUUCUGCUGCAUCAGAUCCAGACCAGCCGGAGCCACACGGAUACCCCCCCUCCUCCUCCCAAAGGGGGAAAAAUAAGGAUCAGGUGAAAAUGCUUGGAAAUUACAAUCGUAGACUACAAACAAAGAAUCCGAAGGCGGCCAGGAAGGCGCAGAAAGAUAGAUGACCAGACGUCAUCCUUGAAGUCACGGUCCUGGGCGUGGCCUAUGCAGAUGAGCGGCGCGCAGGGUCUGCCGGGUCCGCGCUCUCUGCGGAAACGCGAGGGAUUUCGUCGCGGCGAGGAAGGGAGCGCGGGUCCGCGGGUGUCAGAGGAGCACAGGUGUCUGCUCCCCACUCUCUGGGUCUGCUGGCCACCUUGCCUCUGCAGAGCCCAGGCUGAAGAUCAUUGGUUCCAGCACAGACUGUGGCAAAGGAGGAAGACAGAGAGAAGACUCGGGAUGAGGAUCUCAAAAAACUCAGUGGCCAGAAAGCCUGGAAGCCCCUACCCACGAGGGAUGCACGUGAGAGACAGACAGGACAUGAGAAAGUACGGAGCACAAAUGCAGAGGAAGGGAAACUAUAUGAAUUGCACAUUGGAGCCAUGAUUCUCACAGCCCUUUCCUGGCCCCAUCACCCACUGAGAAGUGCUCUGAAUGAAUGUUCUUUGUUGCUUCCUAUGCAUGGGUUUCUGCUACAGCUCCUUUUUCUGGUCCACAAUGACCUGGAAAUCCCAGCAGAUGUUCUCUAGACUCCCAAUUCACAGGUAUAACUGAAAGAAUAAAGAUUUUUAAACUAUCCCACUGACCCUGCUGUGAGGGCCAGUCCACCUCACAGCAAAGAAUAACCUCACAUGUUAUGGGAAAGUAGUCCACCUGGCCUCCAUAAGGCCUAGCUCAGCAUAAACUAUCCAGCCUCGAUAAGGCCUGGUUGAACAUUAGCCAUUUGGCCCUGUUAAGACCUGACUUGAUGUAAGCCAUCCGGCCUCCAUAAGGCCUGAUUUACCAGUCCUGAGAAAAAAAGAGUUGGGGUCAGCUCGCCCCAGAGGCAGGGUAGCUUGGAGUUGGACUGAGCCCAAGCUAGAUCAUGUGUGCCAAUGUAAACAAACUAGUGAAAUUGCUUUGCUUUGUGUGACUGUUGCCAACUACCUAUGUAAUUUUCCCUAUCAAUACCUUCCCCUAAUUGGGCUCGGGGUCAACUCCUCUGUCUCCUGUGUGAGAUACGUGUCGUCCCCAGAGCUCUGGUGCCUCAAAUACACCUCUUGUUCAUUACAUCAA
Molecule: long non-coding RNA, 1423 nt
Organism: Rattus norvegicus (Norway rat)
Lineage: Eukaryota; Metazoa; Chordata; Mammalia; Rodentia; Muridae
Source: RefSeq, a predicted model, not a curated record